UGAUAGCUAUGAAGCGCGAGGUUGCUGCCGGGCACGAAUAAGGAUGACCCGGGAGGUUUUCCGUGGAGCGAAUGUCAAGUUAGGAAACUGACGACAA
This 97-nucleotide non-coding RNA is filed under the name uncultured Blautia sp. Its description in RNAcentral is "S10-Clostridia ribosomal protein leader". It matches the Rfam family "S10-Clostridia ribosomal protein leader". The record is from RNAcentral. Lineage: Bacteria; Bacillati; Bacillota; Clostridia; Lachnospirales; Lachnospiraceae.